UGGCUCUGACAUUGAAGCGUUCCCACAGAUGCUGCCUCUCACAUGGGCAGCAUUCAGACUUCAGCGUCUCUCAAUGGCCUUCCUGACUCCAACCUGCAUCUCACCCUGAUUUUCUUCCUGCUCCGGGAACUAGGCUUUGGGCUUCACUCUGCUCUCUCGUGGUGUUCCGAACCAUGCACUCUGAAUGCCUUCUUUGGCUUUGUAUUUCCUGCCUGCUGAUGACCACUUACAGCAGUUCAAUCCCAUACAGGGUCCAGGGCAGGCCAAAUAGGUGGAGAACAGUCCAGAACAGUCCAUGCAUCUGACAAGUGCAUGGAUUUACCCAUCUGGAAUACAACAUUCAGCAGCUACAGAACAAAAACCAUGUGCAACUGGACAGCAAUAAAUAUCCAGAAGACCCGAUACAACCAAAAUGGCAUUGAAGGAUCUGUCAAGAUCAACAGCAAGAGAACACUGGGACAGCAGCGCUCCGCUGGAGACAGAAACAGCCCACCAUGGAUGAACACAGCAGGGAAGGGGCACUGCCCCGCCAUCUGGAAGGUGAUGUGGAGAAGGCAUCACAGGCCUACACAGGUUCUUUCAUUGUUCUGGUGCGUCCUCUGGGUCAUGGACGGGGAAGAACACCCUGGAGGGUCAAGGCCACCUGCCCAGCAGUCUAGACCAGGUGAGUGUUUUCAGUGGUGAGGUAAGGGGAGGACGAGGCAUCAUCUUUGGGUUGUAAGAAAUUGAAACCCACUCAUACUAACUUGAGAAAAAGAAAGAAAAGAAAAACAAACACGUGGGGCGCCUGGGCGGCUCAGUAGAUUAAGCCUCCGACUUCAGCUCAGGUCAUGAUCUCAUGGUUUGUGGGUUCGAGCCCCGCGUCAGGCUCUGUGCUGACAGCUCAGAGCCUGGAGCCUGCUUUGGAUUCUGUGUCUCUGGCUCUCUCUGCCCCUCCCCUGCUCGUGCUCGGUCUGUCUCUCUGUCUCAAAAAUAAAUAAACAUUAAAAUUUUUUUUUAAAAAAAGAAAAACAAACAAGAAAGGGGGUGUUUCUUUAAAGAAGUCAGGCAUUUCGCAGAAGUCAGGCAUUUUGCAGAACCCAGGCUAGAAGUGCAUUGUGAGCACAGGGGGAUGGAGUGGGGGGGCCAUCACUCAGCGGCCGUCUCGCCCAGUCUCCACCCUGUUCAUCUUUCCUCUCUGUAGUCUGGCUUUCGCUGCCUCUGGUAGGUAGCAGGGCCGAAGAUGCUUCCAAACACCUGCUCAGAUCUAACAUCUCUGAGCUGCCAUUCUAAAUCCCCAGGAGACAACGUGAUUUGUUCCCCUGGGGCCACAAGGCUAAGGCCAGGGAGUGUGGGUGUCCAUUCUCAGAGAAGGCAGAGUUUGGGUGGCUGGGCAGACCCCCAAAAGUCAUGCUGGAGUGCUCUGGAGAGGUGUCCAGCUCUAGAUAUUGUCAGCACCCAUGUUCUGGAGAGACGGUGCUGAGAGGUCUGCCCUUUAAAGUAAUACAUUGGCUUCGCAUUUAUAAGUCUUCUGUGGCGUUAUUAAAUCCAUAAAUAAAGAUUUAAUCUUUUAAGCUCUGCAUUGUGAGGGCAGAAGUUAAAGGGCAGGCAGAGGAGAGCUCAUCAGCGUUGGUUUGGUGGGGU
Neofelis nebulosa (Clouded leopard) is the source of this 1623-nucleotide long non-coding RNA. RefSeq lists it as uncharacterized. Lineage: Eukaryota; Metazoa; Chordata; Mammalia; Carnivora; Felidae. The transcript is spliced from 3 exons. The record is from RefSeq and is a predicted model, not a curated record.